UGGGACGUCGCCAAGUGGUAAGGCACCGGGUUUUGGUCCCGGCAUUCAGGGGUUCGAAUCCCUUCGUCCCAGCCA
RNAcentral lists this transfer RNA (75 nucleotides) under Candidatus Saccharimonadota bacterium. RNAcentral's name for it is "tRNA-Gln". It matches the Rfam family "tRNA". Rfam says of the family: Transfer RNA (tRNA) molecules are approximately 80 nucleotides in length. Their secondary structure includes four short double-helical elements and three loops (D, anti-codon, and T loops). Further hydrogen bonds mediate the characteristic L-shaped molecular structure. tRNAs have two regions of fundamental functional importance: the anti-codon, which is responsible for specific mRNA codon recognition, and the 3' end, to which the tRNAs corresponding amino acid is attached (by aminoacyl-tRNA synthetases). tRNAs cope with the degeneracy of the genetic code in two manners: having more than one tRNA (with a specific anti-codon) for a particular amino acid; and 'wobble' base-pairing, i.e. permitting non-standard base-pairing at the 3rd anti-codon position. The record is from RNAcentral. Lineage: Bacteria; Candidatus Saccharimonadota.